UACCAUACAUCGAGGGACGUAGGCCGGAACCGCGGCCAUGAAUUUACGAAGCAUGUUGCACUUACGGUUUGCACGCUCGUUUCACGUCAUCCGCAUUCUCUGACGCUUCUAUUUUUACCUUAUUAUUAUUUUCUCUUUUCUCUCACGUUUCGUUUAGCAAUGAACAAUAGCGACAGCACGAUGCGUCAAAGAUGCAACAAGAAUUUCGAUAAGGGCAGCUAAGGAAACGAACGGCGAGUAUCUACCGCAAGGGCUGAACUUUCGAACGAUCUUAUCGAUUUCCAGUGGGAACACGGUCACGCACAGAUGCGCAAAAUGAAUCAAGAAGAAAGGGACGAAACGAUAAUGCACCGUCGUCCACGAUACUGCACCAUUGAUUUAGUAGUGGUUAUCCGAGCUCCCCUAGCACACCGACAAUGACUCAUAGUUGCUCGUCUGUGUCGUUAAACACGAUUCUUCGGCCGCGAAUGCAUCCACGCGAAGAGAUGCUCUUAGAAAUUUAAACGAUAGCCAUUCUGCGCGUCUACGCGCUGCUUUUAUCCGUUGCCCCGUUAUUCGAGCAACUGCGCGAACCAAUCGGUCGACGCUCGAAAACAUUCAACGUUGAUUCUGAUAAGAGCGCUAUCUUUGACAUCUGACGAGUUCGCUUUCAUUCGGAUCGUUGUCGAUUUGAAAAAAACCUAUAUAGCGCGUAUGCUUUCCCUCGUAUAGCGUAGCCAUUGAAGCAACGAAGGUAGCCGCAACGUUUAGACGUUAAAUAAAGAAAUUCCAAGAGAAAAAGGGAAAAGAAGAGAUCAACGAUAGGCUGUUAAAAAUCAAGUAACGAGAGGUUGCGACGUGAUUGUGUCCCGAGACAUCGAUACGUCGAAGAUGACAGAUGGAGAAUGAGGAGGAUGAAGAGGAAAAAAGAAGCAAUGUCUUUGUCGUGGGAAAAGACAGUGGGAUGACCCCACGUAUACGAGACAUUCUGCCUUGCGACGAGUAUGUGGGUCGAGAAAUGCCGUACGCGCUAAAUAUAUAUCGGGCGCGUACACGCACGCAACUUUUGCGUAUCAAGGCGUCCAAGAAGUCAGAAGAAAGAGGGUCAUCAGAGGCAACAAGAAAGGAUCGUUUCUUUCUUUCUUUCGAGCACGCGAGAGAAGAGAAAAACAAGAUCGUGCUCUAUGUCAGAUUUUUUCCUCUUUCUUGGCGUUCGCGCGAAAGAGAAAGGAGUUGAAGGAGGAGACGACCGAACGCUGGGUAAAGCGACUCUGCCGCGGAGAAAUCGAUUCGUCAAUCUGUCAUGGCCGGGACCUUUGCAUCCUUUGCCGGUAUGCGUGUUAUUUACGUGCCUUCCGAAAAUCACGUUCGAGUAACUUUCCAGCCACCACGUGCACCGCUUCCACGAAGCAAUCGAAGAGUUCGAAACAAAACGCUGGUCCGAAUGAAAACGUACCGAACGAAAUGUAUUCGCCCCCCAACCAUGGUUACGAGCUUUUAAUAAUAAGAGCAUCGCACGAGUUUCUUUACGGUUUCUCUUUCUCUGCUUUUCUCUUUCGCGUUGCACUCUGUCUAGCACGGUGGUCCUUUCCGAGAUAGAUAGCGCGAUUAUGUAGUGCGUGCGGCGUCAACGUUUAAUUAUACAACCCCCGACAGUUAAUUAGCAAGUUAAUGGAGGAAAAGAGGAGAAAGAGAAGGAAGAGAAGCGUGGAAUAGGACGAGAAGGUCAUAAUCAAGCAGAACGAGCAAAGAAAACAGUAUAGAAGCGAGCAGCGAUCGUUGGCUCUGAACCUAAAUGAGGGAGCCAAGGUUGAGCGCGAAACGAUGCCUCGAACGACCGACCGAACGAAACGAAAACUCGCGCAGCUACUUUUAACGUUCGACGGUCCUUUCUCGUUUGUUUACCCGAGAAUUUACCGACAGUUGGUAACUGACCUCGUGCAAAACACGAAUCACGUUGCUCCGCACAGGGAGACCACGCAAAAUUGAUACUGAUGAUGCAAUCUCGAGCAAACAGCCGACUACGACAGCGAGACGUGGAAACUCUGUAGGAAAAAAAUUUACGUUCUAUCCGACUGGAAACAUCUGCUUCGAUUUUUACUACUUUUCUUUCUUUUCGUCGCAUCUGCAUUGGAAAUUGAAACGAUAAAUUAAGCGAACGACGAUAGACAGGAACGUUCGUGCCACGGAUCGUUUAGCGAACGCAGGCUCGGUUCUCGGGAAAAUGGACGGCUAUAAGCAGAUUCGAAAAAGAAGAGUUAAGAGAGACGAAAUACAAGUAGCUCUCCUCUGCGAUAGCCUGCAACGAGGGUGAAGGUUUACGGCGGAAUUAUAAACAGCCGAAGGUCGGUAUUACUGGGAAAACAAAUUAUAGCGCUUUCACGCGCGAAAACGCACACUUGCAAGAUCGUUGUCCAAAUAUAAAUUGGUGCUUUUUUAUCGAACCGCCGAUAUCGAAUUCUAUCGAUCGCAAAAGUCUGGCAAAUACGAACAGAAAUCUCAAUUAGACGGACGAUGAAUAUAUUCCGCGAGAUCUACUAUUAGCCAAAUACUUCGUCGAAUACUCGAAUACCAAGUUUAGGACAAAUAUCGUUUCUGAUUCGAAAAAGAAACCGGAGUUAUUAAGAAAGCGGAUUAAUUGAUAAGGUUUCAUCCACCCAAUUCGUUUUAUCCAUUACGAGGCUUGGAAACUUGCAAGAAAUACUUCAAUAAAAACAUUUAUGAUACAACAAUCAUGGAAAUC
Long non-coding RNA from Bombus terrestris (buff-tailed bumblebee), 2722 nucleotides. RefSeq lists it as uncharacterized. Lineage: Eukaryota; Metazoa; Arthropoda; Insecta; Hymenoptera; Apidae. The transcript is spliced from 2 exons. The record is from RefSeq and is a predicted model, not a curated record.